RNAcentral lists this ribosomal RNA (468 nucleotides) under uncultured bacterium. Its description in RNAcentral is "partial 16S ribosomal RNA". It matches the Rfam family "Bacterial small subunit ribosomal RNA", at positions 28 to 507 of the family's 1533-position model. The record is from RNAcentral.
GACGAACGCUGGCGGCGUGCUUAACACAUGCAAGUCGAACGGAAAGGCCCUGCUUUUGUGGUGUGCUCGAGUGGCGAACGGGUGAGUAACACGUGAGUAACCUGCCCUUGACUUUGGGAUAACUUCAGGAAACUGGGGCUAAUACCGUAUAGGAUCUCCUGCUGCAUGGUGGGGGUUGGAAAGUUUCGGCGGUUGGGGAUGGACUCGCGGCUUAUCAGCUUGUUGGUGGGGUAGUGGCUUACCAAGGCUUUGACGGGUAGCCGGCCUGAGAGGGUGACCGGCCACAUUGGGACUGAGAUACGGCCCAGACUCCUACGGGAGGCAGCAGUGGGGAAUAUGGCACAAUGGGCGGAAGCCUGAUGCAGCAACGCCGCGUGCGGGAUGACGGCCUUCGGGUUGUAAACCGCUUUCGCCUGUGACGAAGCGUGAGUGACGGUAAUGGGUGAAGAAGCACCGGCUAACUACGUG